Molecule: ribosomal RNA, 138 nt
Filed under: Tovomita longifolia
Lineage: Eukaryota; Viridiplantae; Streptophyta; Magnoliopsida; Malpighiales; Clusiaceae
Description: partial 26S ribosomal RNA
Rfam family: Eukaryotic large subunit ribosomal RNA (bases 77-138)
Source: RNAcentral
GGACCCUCGGACAUUGUCGUGCACUGUUGUCUCCGGGCUCUGACGGCCCAAAAAGUAGCAUCACGCGCUCCCRAAGCGACCCCAGGUCAGGCGGGACUACCCGCUGAGUUUAAGCAUAUCAAUAAGCGGAGGAAAAGR